ACCCCCAUGAGAAUCGGCCCCUUUAUUUGGAUCCUUUGGGAGAGUCUCCAGUUAAAAUGAGGAAAUGCUUAGAAUCGACAAGGGCAUUCCUGCUCAGCAAAGGCUGCAGUCUUCCUAGGUGGACCUGCAGUUCUCUCCCUCACAAACUUCAGAAAGACAGCACAUCCUGUGGAGUCUUGGCUUUGAAAUUUGCUGAGAGCAUUUUGAAAGGGGAGGACAUUAAUAUCAGUACUGACCAAAAGGCAGCUGAGAAGCUGAGGCUGGUUAUUGCCAUGACUCUCAUCCGAGAAUCUGACAGUCUCAGCAACCUCUGCCAUUUUUGUGGGUUGAAGGAGUCUGGCAAACUAUGGG
This is a long non-coding RNA of Brienomyrus brachyistius, 351 nucleotides long. RefSeq lists it as uncharacterized. The transcript has 4 exons. The record is from RefSeq and is a predicted model, not a curated record. NCBI's taxonomy places the organism in Eukaryota, Metazoa, Chordata, Actinopteri, Osteoglossiformes, Mormyridae.